CCUACGGGGGGCAGCAGUAGGGAAUAUUGCUCAAUGGGGGAAACCCUGAAGCAGCAACGCCGCGUGGAGGAUGAAGGUUUUCGGAUUGUAAACUCCUUUUGUUAGAGAAGAUAAUGACGGUAUCUAACGAAUAAGCACCGGCUAACGCCGUGCCAGCAGCCGCGGUAAUACGGAGGGUGCAAGCGUUACUCGGAAUCACUGGGCGUAAAGGGCGCGUAGGCGGGAUAGCAAGUCAGAUGUGAAAUUCUAUGGCUUAACCCUAGAACUGCAUUUGAAACUGUUAUUCUAGGGUAUUGGCGAGGUUAGUGGAAAUCUUGGGGGAGGGGGUAAAUUCG
Molecule: ribosomal RNA, 335 nt
Filed under: uncultured bacterium
Lineage: Bacteria
Description: partial 16S ribosomal RNA
Rfam family: Bacterial small subunit ribosomal RNA
Source: RNAcentral